Molecule: long non-coding RNA, 2155 nt
Organism: Hippopotamus amphibius kiboko
Lineage: Eukaryota; Metazoa; Chordata; Mammalia; Artiodactyla; Hippopotamidae
Exons: 3
Source: RefSeq, a predicted model, not a curated record
UCGGAGCUCGCCAUCUCCAGCGAUCUCUACAUUGGGAAAAAACAUGGAGUCAGCUCCGGCAGCCCCCGACCCCGCCGCCAGCGAGCCGGGCAGCAGCGGCGCGGACGCGGCCGCCGGCUCCAGGGAGACCCCGCUGAACCAGGAAUCCGCCCGCAAGAGCGAGCCGCCCGCCCCGGUGCGCAGACAGAGCUAUUCCAGCACCAGCAGAGCCGACUGUAUGCCUCUUUCCUGAAGGUGACUUUACAAUCUCCAGACACAGACAUUUCUCUCAGAAGUGGAGUGAAGGAAGGAGAGCCACAUGCUAAAGACAAUGAACAGAGGAAAAGUUGACACUUUGAGAAGUUAUGACGAACUUGUCGAGAAUGCCAAUUGACAAAGGCAGGUAAGGGAAUACUUGGAGAAACAGCACAAGAACAGGUCUGAAGGGCAGGCCGAUCUGCUGCCUAGCGUGUUAAGGGAAUUGGCGGGCGUGUUUAUUGACUCUUCCAAUUAGUUUUAAAGAAACCUGGAGAAGUGGACAAAGACGGAGAAGGGACAACCGGAUGUGAUUCUGCCCUUCCAGAAGCAGAGGCCUCUAUCGUCCCAUAUGGUCGGCGCCAGUCAUGGGGAAGAGUGACUGCUUGGAAGUUAAUGGAUUUUCAACAGACAAAUCACAGAAGAAACAAGGGUAUAUUUCACAAGUCUCUUCAAUAAACUGCACUGCUUUUCAUUUCCACUGCGCACUUAUAAAGCCAGUGGAUGGUAAGAAGGCCAUGGUAACAAUACAGCAUGUACUCCCAGGCACGUUUGUGUGACAGGGAUAUUAUAUCUGAAAGGACUGAGCACCUGGGAGGGUGAACUGCCCGUAACUCUCAAUUGUCCAGGUAAUGAAGCAGGAAGAAAGCAAAGGCAGAUGAAAUACUUUGAUAAUCAAUGAUGAUGCUUCUUUUAGUGAUCGUAUUAGUUGACUGAUGGUGACAAAGGUGAAAUUGCUGGAGUUGUAUUUUACCAUUUCUGGCACGCACGACCCACUUUGGAUGAACACAUUUCUACAGAAAGUGCAUGAAGAGUGGUGAGCUGCUAAACUUUCUUGAGGCCCCCAAAAGAAUCAGUAAGAGAACCGAUGGCACCCCUGAAAGGGCUCUAGAAAAUUCUAAAGCUCGCUUUCUAGUCUUGAGCUUGGGGGUGUACGUUAGAUGUAUACGGCUCACUCAUGAGGCUGCCAUGGGUCGUGUUUUAUUAGACCACAGCCUGUUAGAGCCAGAGACUGCCUUAAGAACCAUCUAGACUAUACCCACCCCCUGUUGAAACUGGCACUCUCAGAGGUCAGAAUGUGCCCGAGGUCCCAUUCCUAGUAGGUAGCAAGGCUGUGAGUGGAACCCAAGUCUUCUCCAUCCCAGUGUUCCUUCCACUUGCAUGGAUGCUGAGACGUUCCAAUAAGUUCUUGCCCACCGGGAGACCCCCUGGAGCUAUUACGCUAUGUAUGCAGGUUAACCCAGCCUUCGGGGUAGAGAUGUAUGAAAGGAAGCACACUUUGUUUUGGCUGUGUAUCAGCAGCAGAGCAUUAUCAGUACUAUUGUAUUUUAAUCCCACUGGGUAUUUUUAUUAUUCCUUAAAAAUUAGCCGGUGAGCGUGUGACUCUGCCAGUAAAGCCGUUUAAAAGCAUAGUGAAAAUUGUGCCUGCGUCUCCCACUCCGAUCUAGUAGAUAGUAAAAUAUAGGACAUGGAGUGGGGCAUCCUGAACUUGGAGCCUUUAUGCUCGCUGGAGCUGGAGGCAGCCAGCUCCAGCUGUGCAGUGGGGGAGGGCGUCCCUCAGCAGCUGUCCUCUUUCCUCAAGGCACCGGGUUUGGGGCUGUGCCUUUUAUAGGGAUGCUGCUGAGCAAGUCUGCCAAUGGAAUACUAUGUAGCCAGGAAAAAUCAUGUUGUAGUGGAAGGUGUUUGGGAUCUACUGCUUAGUGAAAAGUCAUGGCUUUCAUGGAAUGGGAUCAUUUUUAUAAAAACUAUGGUGUGUGUGUGUGUGUAUGUAUAUGUAUAUAUUAACAUGGGCCCACAUGUCCCUAAAUGAAGAAAUGAUAAAGUGGUCAUCUCUGGGUGGUGGGAUUAUCUAUGAAUUUCUCUUUCUCUGUGCCCUUCUGUAUUUUCCGAGUUUCCUGCGUUAUGCAUGUUAUUAUUUUUG